GUCUACAGCCCUGCUACCCUGAACAAGCCCGAUCCCAUCUGAUUUCGGAAGCUAAGCAGGGUUGGGCCUGGUUAGUACUUAGAUGGGAGACCACCUAGGAAGACCAGGUGCUGUAGGUG
RNAcentral lists this ribosomal RNA (119 nucleotides) under Pteropus alecto (black flying fox). Lineage: Eukaryota; Metazoa; Chordata; Mammalia; Chiroptera; Pteropodidae. The record is from RNAcentral.